This 230-nucleotide long non-coding RNA is filed under the name Elaeis guineensis (African oil palm). RNAcentral's name for it is "long non-coding RNA (EGUI_LNC033635)". The record is from RNAcentral. Lineage: Eukaryota; Viridiplantae; Streptophyta; Magnoliopsida; Arecales; Arecaceae.
CGUCGAUCAGCCACAUGAUCAGUUAGAAAUUUCUUUUGAGUGUGAUCCCAUAGGUUUGAACCUAAGCUGGUAGUACAAAAAUAAUCUUCUUAUACCAAUCAAAGUGACCAUCUAACAAUAGUACCCAACAUCUGGAUAGGUUGAAAUAUUGCAAAACAAUAUUCAAGAAUCUAUUGAUAUAUGGUUACCAUAUAAUUAAUCUCUUUAAUCCAAAUGCUCAAGGUGACCUA